UACGGAGGAUCCAAGCGUUAUCCGGAUUUAUUGGGUUUAAAGGGAGCGUAGGUUGACAUAUAAGUCAGCUGUGAAAGUUUACGGCUCAACC
RNAcentral lists this ribosomal RNA (91 nucleotides) under uncultured bacterium. RNAcentral's name for it is "partial 16S ribosomal RNA". It matches the Rfam family "Bacterial small subunit ribosomal RNA", at positions 524 to 614 of the family's 1533-position model. The record is from RNAcentral.